UAAUAAGUGUUUUAUGGCACUUUUUAAAUCCAUAUCCACCUUGUGUGCAAUGUCAGUCGAUCUUCUUCAUGGAGAUCGACCAAACAUCAACCUUUAUCUUUUAACUCUUUGUCUUAAAAAUAUUAUGAAUAGACAAUUCAAAAUA
This 145-nucleotide unclassified non-coding RNA is filed under the name soil metagenome. RNAcentral describes it as "partial internal transcribed spacer 1". The record is from RNAcentral.